This 1901-nucleotide long non-coding RNA is filed under the name Homo sapiens (human). Its description in RNAcentral is "non-protein coding lnc-LSM5-2:3". The record is from RNAcentral. Lineage: Eukaryota; Metazoa; Chordata; Mammalia; Primates; Hominidae.
ACAGUACUGUGCUGCUUUUUCAACCAUGGAGAGGUCACCCGUGUGAUGUGGACACAACCUCUCCGUGAAAGUUUUUCCUAUCCAUUCCUUGUACUUCAGAUGUAUAUUUUAACUUUGAUUCUCAGGGACUGUAUUAUUCCUAUUUCAAGACUAUUGUGGAAACACCCUCAUUUUUGAAUGGAGUAUGGAUGAUUAUGAAUGAUAAACUGACUGAAUACCCCCUUGUUAUUAAUACAUUAAAAAGAUUCAAUCUUUACCCUGAGGUAAUUUUGGCCAGCUGGUACUGGAUUUAUACCAAAAUAAUGGACUUCAUUGCAAUUCAAACCAAGAUAUGUCGGACGGUUACCAGAGGAGAAGGACUCAGUCCUACUGAAAGCUGUGAAGGAUUGGGAGAUCUUGCUUGCUUCUAUGUUGCUGUAAUUUUUAUUUUAAAUGGACUAAUGAUGGCAUUAUUCUUCAUAUAUGGCACAUAUUUAAGUGGCAGCCGAUUAGGAGGCCUGGUUACAGUGUUGUGCUUCUUUUUCAGUCAUGGAGAGUGUACCUGUGUAAUGUGGACACCACCUCUCCGCGAAAGCUUCUCAUAUCCAUUUCUUGUUCUUCAGAUGUUGCUUGUGACUCAUAUUCUCAGGGCUACAAAACUUUAUAGAGGAAGUUUGAUUGCACUCUGCAUUUCCAAUUUAUUUUUCAUGCUUCCUUGGCAGUUUGCUCAGUUUGUACUUCUUACUCAGAUUGCAUCAUUAUUUGCAGUGUAUGUUGUCGGGUACAUUGAUAUAUGUAAAUUAUGGAAGAUCAUUUAUAUACACAUGAUUUCUCUUGCACUUUGUUUUGUUGUGAUGUUUGGGAACUCAAUGUUAUUAUUAUGCUGCUUCUUUGGUAAUUAUUUGGGGUAUUCUGGCAAUGAAACCACAUUUCCUGAAAAUAAAUGUAUCUGAACUUAGUUUAUGGGUUAUUCAAGGAUGUUUUUGGUUAUUUGGAACUGUCAUACUUAAAUACUUGACAUCUAAAAUUUUUGGUAUUGCAGAUGACAUGGAGUUUCACUCUUGUUGCCCAGGCUGGAGUGCAAUGGUGUGAUCUUGGCUCACCGCAACCUUCCUCUCCCAGGUUCAAGCGAUUCUCCUGCCUCAGCCUCCCGAGUAGCUAGGAUUACAGUGACCGCCCACCCGCACCUGCUGAACAGCAAGGUCCACGGAGUAGGAACUGAACGUGUCAGGGACUAUGUGUGGCACUGUAUGGCAAGUCUCCAAGACUGGGAAGCACCGCUUUACAUAGUCCUCAUGGAUUCCAAAGCAUGAGUUGGGCUGCUUUUGAAUAGUGGGAGACGGGAGUUUACCCCGAUCACAGAAACCAUACCAACUGAAAGACAAAUCAGCAUCUUGCUGGACGACCCCUCACAGAGCUCCUAGAUCCUUGAAGUGUGAACUUCAGCAGCUGAGAGAGAUGGGGUCUCACUAUGUUGCCCAGGCUGGUCUUGAACUCCUGGACUCAAGCAAUCCUCUCACCUCAGCCUCCCAAAGUGCUGGGAUUACAGAUUUUAUAAAUAUUGUUGAUCUUUUUGAAAAACCAACUGUUGGCUUCAUUUUCUUUAUUGUGUAAUACUACCUUAGAGGAUAGCAGUUCCUAAUACCUACUUUUAUUAUGAGUCUCUGCCAUUUAUAAAGAACUGUGGACAGCACAGGGAAUGGGGGAAGAAAACUCUGGUGCAGCUUGAAUCUUGGUAGCAAAACAGUGACUUCAUCAGAAAAUUUUGUCACUCUCUAUUAGAUAAUGGAGUUUGACCAUUUGGAAUUUGGAAUUUUUCAAAUGAAUAUGACAAAAAUUUAAAAAACUCUUGUAUUACUAUGUGAUAACACAGAUCUUUACAACUUUAUGUUUGUUUUAUCAAUUACAUAUUAAAGAUAGAA